This 497-nucleotide ribosomal RNA is filed under the name uncultured bacterium. RNAcentral describes it as "partial 16S ribosomal RNA". It matches the Rfam family "Bacterial small subunit ribosomal RNA", at positions 28 to 507 of the family's 1533-position model. The record is from RNAcentral.
GAUGAACGCUGGCGGCGUGCCUAAUACAUGCAAGUCGAGCGAACGGACGAGAAGCUUGCUUCUCUGAUGUUAGCGGCGGACGGGUGAGUAACAUGUGGAUAACCUACCUAUAAGACUGGGAUAACUUCGGGAAACCGGAACUUAUUACGGCUGAUAUUUUGAACCGCAUGGUUCAAAAGUGCAAGGCGGUCUUGCUGUCACUUAUAGAUUGAUCCGCGCUGCAUUAGCUAGUUGGUAAGGUAACGGCUUACCAAGGCAACGAUGCAUAGCCGACCUGAGAGGGUGAUCGGCCACACUGGAACUGAGACACGGUCCAGACUCCUACGGGAGGCAGCAGUAGGGAAUCUUCCGCAAAGGGCGAAAGCCUGACGGAGCAACGCCGCGUGAGUGAUGAAGGUCUUCGGAUCGUAAAACUCUGUUAUUCGGGAAGAACAUAUGUGUAAGAAACUGUGCACAUCAUGACGGUACCUAAUCAGAAAGCCACGGCUAACUACGUG